RNAcentral lists this small nucleolar RNA (107 nucleotides) under Pteropus vampyrus (large flying fox). Lineage: Eukaryota; Metazoa; Chordata; Mammalia; Chiroptera; Pteropodidae. The record is from RNAcentral.
UGGUAAGAAACUUAAAAAAAAUCCUGGAACCAGAGCACUUUAGAAGCCUCGUCUGGAGCAGUGAGCACAGCUUCAGUGAGCUCAUGCCAGGGUGCUUCUUGANNNNN